This 1145-nucleotide ribosomal RNA is filed under the name Latilactobacillus sakei. RNAcentral's name for it is "bacterial SSU rRNA". It matches the Rfam family "Bacterial small subunit ribosomal RNA", at positions 32 to 1146 of the family's 1533-position model. Lineage: Bacteria; Bacillati; Bacillota; Bacilli; Lactobacillales; Lactobacillaceae. The record is from RNAcentral.
GGCGGUGCGGCGUGCUAUAAUGCAGUCGACGCACUCUCGUUUAGAUUGAAGGAGCUUGCUCCUGAUUGAUAAACAUUUGAGUGAGUGGCGGACGGGUGAGUAACACGUGGGUAACCUGCCCUAAAGUGGGGGAUAACAUUUGGAAACAGAUGCUAAUACCGCAUAAAACCUAACACCGCAUGGUGUAGGGUUGAAAGAUGGUUUCGGCUAUCACUUUAGGAUGGACCCGCGGUGCAUUAGUUAGUUGGUGAGGUAAAGGCUCACCAAGACCGUGAUGCAUAGCCGACCUGAGAGGGUAAUCGGCCACACUGGGACUGAGACACGGCCCAGACUCCUACGGGAGGCAGCAGUAGGGAAUCUUCCACAAUGGACGAAAGUCUGAUGGAGCAACGCCGCGUGAGUGAAGAAGGUUUUCGGAUCGUAAAACUCUGUUGUUGGAGAAGAAUGUAUCUGAUAGUAACUGAUCAGGUAGUGACGGUAUCCAACCAGAAAGCCACGGCUAACUACGUGCCAGCAGCCGCGGUAAUACGUAGGUGGCAAGCGUUGUCCGGAUUUAUUGGGCGUAAAGCGAGCGCAGGCGGUUUCUUAAGUCUGAUGUGAAAGCCUUCGGCUCAACCGAAGAAGUGCAUCGGAAACUGGGAAACUUGAGUGCAGAAGAGGACAGUGGAACUCCAUGUGUAGCGGUGAAAUGCGUAGAUAUAUGGAAGAACACCAGUGGCGAAGGCGGCUGUCUGGUCUGUAACUGACGCUGAGGCUCGAAAGCAUGGGUAGCAAACAGGAUUAGAUACCCUGGUAGUCCAUGCCGUAAACGAUGAGUGCUAGGUGUUGGAGGGUUUCCGCCCUUCAGUGCCGCAGCUAACGCAUUAAGCACUCCGCCUGGGGAGUACGACCGCAAGGUUGAAACUCAAAGGAAUUGACGGGGGCCCGCACAAGCGGUGGAGCAUGUGGUUUAAUUCGAAGCAACGCGAAGAGCCUUACCAGGUCUUGACAUCCUUUGACCACUCUAGAGAUAGAGCUUUCCCUUCGGGGACAAAGUGACAGUGGUGCAUGGUUGUCGUCAGCUCGUGUCGUGAGAUGUUGGUUAAGUCCCGCACGAGCGCAACCCUUAUUACUAGUUGCCAGCAUUUAGUUGGGCACUCUAGUGA